Molecule: ribosomal RNA, 436 nt
Filed under: uncultured bacterium
Lineage: Bacteria
Description: partial 16S ribosomal RNA
Rfam family: Bacterial small subunit ribosomal RNA
Source: RNAcentral
CCUACGAGUGGCAGCAGUGGGGGAUAUUGCACAAUGGGGGGAACCCUGAUGCAGCGACGCCGCGUGGGUGAAGACGCGCCUCGGCGCGUAAAGCUCUGUUAGCAGUGAAUUGACGGUACCUGAAGAAGAAGCCCCGGCUAACUACGUGCCAGCAGCCGCGGUAAGACGUAGGGGGCAAGCGUUAUCCGGAUGUACUGGGUGUAAAGGGGGCGCAGGUGGGGAUGCAAGCCGGGAGUGAAAGCCCGGGGCCCAACCCCGGGACUGCGCUUGGAACUGGGUGGCUGGAGUGCAGGAGGGGCAGGCGGAAUUCCUGGUGUAGCGGUGAAAUGCGUAGAUAUCAGGAGGAACACCGGUGGCGAAGGCGGCCUGCUGGACUGCAACUGACGUUGAGGCCCGAAAGCGUGGGGAGCAAACAGGAUUAGAUACCCCUGUAGUC